ACUUUGCAAUGUGCGAAAGCACGACAAGGUUAAUCCGAGUGUUUUCUGCUAAAGAAAUCUUUUGUCAGUCCUAGAAACACUGAUGAAUAAGGGGUGGGCAAGUUCUGGUGUCAGCCGCCGCGGUAAAACCAGCACCUCAAGUGGUCAGGAGGAUUAUUGGGCCUAAAGCAUCCGUAGCCUGCUUUGUAAGUUUUCGGUUAAAUCCAUAUGCUCAACAUAUGGGCUGCCGGGAAUACUGCACAGCUAGGGAGUGGGAGAGGUAGACGGUACUCGGGUAGGAAGGGGUAAAAUCCUUUGAUCUAUUGAUGACCACCUGUGGCGAAGGCGGUCUACCAGAACACGUCCGACGGGUGAGGGAUGGAAAGCGUGGGGGAG
Molecule: ribosomal RNA, 375 nt
Filed under: uncultured crenarchaeote
Lineage: Archaea; Thermoproteati; Thermoproteota
Description: bacterial SSU rRNA
Rfam family: Archaeal small subunit ribosomal RNA
Source: RNAcentral